GAUUACUACMAGGAUAACCGUAGGAAUUCUAGAGCUAAUACUUGCACUUCANGGUGAUUUUUCAUCYGCACUUAUUAGAUUUACCACCAAUGCUCUUCGGAGCCUCGGUGAUUCAUAGUAAUUUAGCGGAUCCGUUAGCUUCGGCUGCGACGCUUCAUUCAAAUUUCUGCCCUAUCAGCUUUCGAUGGUAGUGUAUUGGACUACCAUGGCUUUGACGGGUAACGGAGAAUUAGGGUUCGAUUCCGGAGAGGGAGCCUGAGAAACGGCUACCACAUCUAAGGAAGGCAGCAGGCGCGCAAAUUACCCAAUCCCAACUCGGGGAGGUAGUGACAAGAAAUAACAACAACUAACCUAUUUCAGGUGAGUUGAUUGGAAUGAGUACAAUCUAAACACCUUAACGACUAUCCAUUGGAGGGCAAGCCUGGUGCCAGCAGCCGCGGUAAUUCCAGCUCCAAUAGCGUAUACUAAUGUUGUUGCAGUUAAAAAGCUCGUAGUCGGAUUUCAGUAGGCUCAGUUAAGUCUCACUUAUGAGUUCUUUAUGGGCCUGCUUCUUUGACAGAAACUUCUAUGUUAUUCAUUUAGCGUGGGUAGCGACUGUCUCUUUUACUUUGAGAAAAUUAGAGUGUUCAAAGCAGGUAUUCGCCUGAAUAUUACUCUUGGAAUAAUGCUAUAAGACUUUGGUUCUAAUGUAUUGGUGAUUGGGACCAGAGUAAUGAUUGAUAGGGACGGUUGGGGUCUUACGUACUGCAAAGCGAGAGGUGAAAUUCUUGGACCUUUGUAUGACGAACAACUGCGAAAGCAUUGGACUAGGACGUUCCCGUUGAUCAAGAACGAAAGUUGGGGGAUCGAAGACGAUCAGAUACCGUCGUAGUCUCAACCAUAAACUAUGCCAGCUAGGGAUCGGAGGAAGUUACAUGUUCGACUCCUUCGGCACCUUAUGAGAAAUCAAAGCAUUUGGGUUCCGGGGGGAGUAUGGUCGCAAGGCUGAAACUUAAAGGAAUUGACGGGAGGGCACCACCAGGAGUGGAGCCUGUGGCUUAAUUUGACUCAACACGGGAAAACUUACCAGGUCCGGACAUAGUAAGGAUUGACAGAUUGAAAGCUCUUUCUUGAUUCUAUGGGUGGUGGUGCAUGGCCGUUCUUAGUUGGUGGAGUGAUUUGUCUGGUUAAUUCCGUUAACGAACGAGACCUCAGCCUGCUAAAUAGUGCCUAUUUUCUUUCGAAGGUUAGCACUUCUUAGAGGGACUACUUGUGAAACAACCAAGCGGAAGCUUGAGGCAAUAACAGGUCUGUGAUGCCCUUAGAUGUUCUGGGCCGCACAUGGGCUACACUGGUGCAUUCAACAAGCAUAAUCACCUUAACCGAAGGGUUUGGGUAAUCUUUGAAAUUGCACCGUGCUUGGGAUAGACUAUUGCAAUUUUUAGUCUUCAACGAGGAAUUCCUAGUAAACGCAAGUCAUCAGCUUGCAUUGAUUACGUCCCUGCCCUUUGUACACACCGCCCGUCGCUCCUACCGAUUGGAUGAUUCGGUAAGCUUUUGGGAUUGAUUAGCUAACUGUCACUGACAUUAGCUUUUAACAACUUAAUCAAACCUAAUCAUCUAGAGGAAGGAGAAGUCGUAACAAGGUUUCCGUAGGUGAACCUGCGGAAGGAUCAUUGACAAAAUCUCACUAUAUGUGACGUGAACUCUUGUAUGUGUAGUAGUAAUACCCGUUUUGACAGAGGUUUAGCGAUUAGGUUGCGUUUUCGCUUGACUUCGGUUUCACUACUGCCAUUCCCCGGUAUAUGGUUGGGGCGCAACGUUUUUUUACUAGAACUGUAAUUGUUUUUAAUUCUGUGCUAUUUUGGCGCAAUUUAAAACAAACCACAUCACUUAACGAUGGAUCUCUUGGCUCAGAGUACGAUGAAGAACGGCGCGAAAUCCGAUACGUAAUGCGAACUGCAGGAUUCAGCGAAUCAUCAAAUCUUUGAACGCAUAUUGCACCUAUACCUCGGUAUAGGUAUGCGUGGUUCAGUCUUUGUAAACAACUUUCAAACACCUUAGUAAAAUAGGGUGUUAUGGAAAACGUCGGUAAGAUAGGCGACUGUCUUUCCGAUUAGUUUGAUCACCGCUUCGCGCUUGAUCACCUCUCUGGGUAGUUACUUGGAGCUGGAGGUUGAGUCCUGUGAAUGCGAAGGUCAAUACUUUAAAACGUUUAUCACUUAAGCUGAGCUCACGUAAGAAUACCCGCCGAAUUUAAACAUAUUAUUAAGCGGAGGAAAAGAAAAUAACUAUGAUUCCCUUAGUAGUGGCGAAUGAACAGGGAUCAGUUCAAGCCUUUAAUCCUGCACUUUAGUGCUAGGAGUUGUGGUCUUCUGCCGUAAUCCGUGUCGUCAUCUCGGCUAGAUCUUGUUGAAAUAUAGCGUCAUAGAGGGUUAUAACCCCGUCCGCUGAGAUAGUGUGCACAAGCGAUUCGGCAAGGUUGAGUCGUGCUACUUGGGACUGUAGCACUAAUUGGGAGGUAAUAUCCUUCUAAAACUAAAUAUUACUCUGAGACCGAUAGCGAACAAGUACCGUGAGGGAAAGAUGAAAAGGAAUUUGAAAAGAAUGUGAAAAGUACGUGAAAUCGUUAGGUGAAAGCGAAUAGCAUACCUUUGACGUAUACUUUAUGUUUGCAACGUAGUUGAGUUCAUACUUGUAUGUCUCUUCUUCACGCUUUCGUAUGGUAGAGGUUUGAUUGCUCUUGCUCGUACGUAGUUGUGUUCCGUUUUCCUUGAUAGUUCGCAAAAUGUGGCUGUCUUGGCUUAUUGUUCCGGCUGCGUCCGUUUAAGCGUCUAGACGUCAUCAUGGUGUUGUUAUCCGACCCGUCUUGAAACACGGACCAAGGAGUCUAACGUAUGUGCGAGUUCUUGAGUUGUAAACUCAUCGGCGUAGAGAAAUCGAAUUGUUAUUAACACUUUGGUGUUCCAUAACGGCUGUUUUGAUUCUUAGGAUAAAGACCGCUCGCUUGAGCAUGUAUGUUGGGACCCGAAAGAUGGUGAACUAUGCUUGUGCAGGUUGAAGGCAGGAGAAAUUCUGCUGGAGGACCGCAGAGAUACUGACGUGCAAAUCGUUCUUCAGACAUGAGUAUAGGGGCGAAAGACUAAUCGAACCAUCUAGUAGCUGGUUCCCUCCGAAGUUUCCCUCAGGAUAGCUGGAACUCGUAUGAGCCACGUGAGGUAAAGCGAAUGAUUGGAGGACUUGGGUUUGAAACAUUCUCUGCCUACUCUCAAACUUUAAAUGUGCGUGAACACUUGAUUGCUUAAUUGAAUCGGGUUGUAGGGUCUAGAGUUCUUAGUGGGCCAUUUUUGGUAAGCAGAACUGGCGAUGCGGGAUGCUCCGGAAGCUGGGUUWAGNGUGCCURAAUAUUCGCUCAUUCAGAUACCAUGAAAGGUGUUGGUUGAUUUAGACAGCAGGACGGUGGUCAUGGAAGUCGAAAUCCGCUAAGGAGUGUGUAACAACUCACCUGCCGAAUCAAGUAGCCCUGAAAAUGGAUGGCGCUCAAGCGAAUUACCGAUACUCAGCCAUCUGUGCUUUUGUGAUGCAUAGAUGAGUAGGAGGGCGUGAUGGUGGUGCAGAAGGUGUGGCGGUGACGUCCACUUGAACCACCAUUAGUGC
Molecule: ribosomal RNA, 3636 nt
Filed under: Acanthostaurus nordgaardi
Lineage: Eukaryota; Acantharea; Arthracanthida; Phyllostauridae
Description: eukaryotic LSU rRNA
Rfam family: Eukaryotic small subunit ribosomal RNA (bases 1-1658)
Source: RNAcentral